This 735-nucleotide ribosomal RNA is filed under the name uncultured bacterium. Its description in RNAcentral is "bacterial SSU rRNA". It matches the Rfam family "Bacterial small subunit ribosomal RNA", at positions 28 to 776 of the family's 1533-position model. The record is from RNAcentral.
GAUGAACGCUGGCGGCGCGCCUAACACAUGCAAGUCGAACGAGCGAAAGAGAGCUUGCUUUCUUGAGCGAGUGGCGAACGGGUGAGUAACGCGUGAGGAACCUGCCUCAAAGAGGGGGACAACAGUUGGAAACGACUGCUAAUACCGCAUAAGCCCACGACCCGGCAUCGGGUUGAGGGAAAAGGAGCAAUCCGCUUUGAGAUGGCCUCGCGUCCGAUUAGCUGGUUGGUGAGGUAACGGCCCACCAAGGCGACGAUCGGUAGCCGGACUGAGAGGUUGAACGGCCACAUUGGGACUGAGACACGGCCCAGACUCCUACGGGAGGCAGCAGUGGGGAAUAUUGCACAAUGGGGGAAACCCUGAUGCAGCGACGCCGCGUGGAGGAAGAAGGUCUUCGGAUUGUAAACUCCUGUUGUUGAGGGAGAUAAUGACGGUACUCAACAAGGAAGUGACGGCUAACUACGUGCCAGCAGCCGCGGUAAAACGUAGGUCACAAGCGUUGUCCGGAAUUACUGGGUGUAAAGGGAGCGCAGGCGGGAAGACAAGUUGGAAGUGAAAUCUAUGGGCUCAACCCAUAAACUGCUUUCAAAACUGUUUUUCUUGAGUAGUGCAGAGGUAGGCGGAAUUCCCGGUGUAGCGGUGGAAUGCGUAGAUAUCGGGAGGAACACCAGUGGCGAAGGCGGCCUACUGGGCACCAACUGACGCUGAGGCUCGAAAGUGUGGGUAGCAAACAGG